Molecule: long non-coding RNA, 1715 nt
Filed under: Penaeus chinensis
Lineage: Eukaryota; Metazoa; Arthropoda; Malacostraca; Decapoda; Penaeidae
Description: uncharacterized LOC125039916, transcript variant X1
Source: RNAcentral
AUCGUUGGGUAGAGGAAACAAACAAAAAAUCUGAUUUUGGAACUAAGUCUCGCUCUCGGUAACAUUUACCUUUUUAGGUAAAUAAUCAUUCAAAUUUAUAGAAUAACUGAAAUGUGAAGUUUUAAUACUGCUGUUAUGACAGAUUGCGCAUCACUAAAAGUCUUGACGAAUCACCAAGAACUGAUAUUUUUAGGAUUCUAAGUGUAGAGGCUUCAGAAUUAAUGUAUGAAUAUCCUUACAGUUUACAUGUGUUGAAUGUGCUGAGCCUGCAAACCCCAUUGUUGAGGAAUGUACAUGUGGUAAAUCAACGAGCCAUGGAAGCUUCGUUAACUUGUGGACGGUACAGGCUUUGGACAAGGACAAGGUUGUGUUGUGCUGCGUGAUGUGGAUGUGACAAGCCUAAGAAUCGAACGGUCUGCAGUUUACAUAGUAUGGAUGAGCAUUGCAGCAUGCCAUUGCCAGGGAAACAAGCUUAACCCCUAUCUGCCAGGUCACGCCUACAGCUGUCAUAACACUCAUGCCGGGUACGGCUAUAGGUGUAGUACCGCACUAGAGCGCGGCGGUCAGAAAAUCCCUGGAUGGUUGGCAGAAGUCACUCGAGUCGGUGACACUGAGAGAUUUUGAUGCCGUUAUUGAAAGGUUAACAGUAUACUAGUCUGACAUGCCUACGAAGGACUAAGUGGCUGUGCUGGAGAGCAAGCAAGAGUACAUCAGCUUGAUGAGCAGUAGAGCCUGCAAACCUCCAGUUGUCCAGGGCCUCUACAUAAAAUCCAAGCAUUGUAAACCUCCAUAAACCCAUGCAUAUUGUGCAGACUUCAGUUAUGGACUUGCAUUGCAGUAUUGUCAGUGAAAUAAGCUCCCAUGUGUAUCUAGACUGACAUGCCUACAAAUGACCAUAAAGGUUUAUGCUGGAAGGCAAGCAAGAGUACAUCAGCUUGAUGAGCAGUAGAGCCUGCAAACCUCCAGUUGUCCAGGGCCUCUACAUAAAAUCCAAGCAUUGUAAACCUCCAUAAACCCAUGCAUAUUGUGCAGACUUCAGUUAUGGACUUGCAUUGCAGUAUUGUCAGUGAAAUAAGCUCCCAUGUGUAUCUAGACUGACAUGCCUACAAAUGACUGUAAAGGAUUAUGCUGGAAGGCAAGCAAGGUUACAUCUAUUGGUUAAAUAUGCUGUUGGAUGUGGGAACAUCCUGUUGCAGGAGGAAUGCACUAAUGGCAUAGCCACAAGGCAUUGUAAUCUUUCUGCAAGUUUUGGCAACGAAUGAAUGAGCAUUGCAGUUGAAUUAAGAUCACUGGUGUACCUUGACUGAUAUCCUAACAAAGACAGAAGGCAGUGCUGCAUAGUCACAGGAUCCAUAUAACAUGCGUUGUGGAGCCUUUGUCAAGGGAUGCGUUUGGCAAAACGUGAGCCACUGUGAAUGUUCGUCUAGUGAUUUGGUCACUUCUCCAAUCAUUAGAAAAGCCUAAGGAGUCGGAGGAGAGCUCAGACAAAAGGCUUUGUUAGCUGCACCAGCAUCUUUGCUGCAACAUUCGUGGAGAAUAACCAGCCAUGUAACCUAUGGAGGUGGCACGUGGCCUGGGUUCAUGCUCUCCAUUCUCCUUAUUACUUGCUUGUAUUAUAGUUUUGAAAUGUGGCCAUCAGCCAUUCCUCGUAUAUUAUGGUGAGGUGCAAGAAAUUGACAAUUUUUGUGUAGAUUUAUAAUAAAUAUUGUAUUGUA